CAGCUGGAGGGGCUACUCCGCGCUCCAGAUCAGAUAAUGAUCUGUCUGGCGGUGGCUGCUCAUCACCGUCUCUGUUCUGAAGCAGAGCAGAGGCCCCUACACUCUGAUCUGAAGCAGAUGGUGUAUUAUUCAAUGCUGGUGAGGCCAGGUCGGAUGAGCCUACCUCCAUAUCAGAUAAUGAUCUGUCUGGCGGUGGCUGCUCAUCACCGUUUCUGUUCUGAGGCAGAGCAGAGGCCCCUACACUCUGAUCUGAAGCAGAUGGUGUAUUAUUCAAUGCUGGUGAGGCCAGGUCGGAUGAGCCUACCGUGGCAAAAGACUCAUGGCCUAGAUAACAACCCUCAAUUAUAUGGUCCUCGCCACCACCACCAGGAGAGCUCUGCUCUCCACUAGAUGUCUGACUUCUAAAGGCAGUUGAUCGAACACCUAGCCCAUAUUUAU
This 438-nucleotide long non-coding RNA is filed under the name Citrus maxima (pomelo). Its description in RNAcentral is "long non-coding RNA (CMAX_LNC002409)". The record is from RNAcentral. Lineage: Eukaryota; Viridiplantae; Streptophyta; Magnoliopsida; Sapindales; Rutaceae.